This 303-nucleotide unclassified non-coding RNA is filed under the name fungal sp. RNAcentral describes it as "partial internal transcribed spacer region". The stretch from base 1 to 46 matches the Rfam family "Eukaryotic small subunit ribosomal RNA", at positions 1786 to 1831 of the family's 1831-position model. RNAcentral also lists the same sequence under 1 other name. Lineage: Eukaryota; Fungi. The record is from RNAcentral.
AAGUCGUAACAAGGUUUCCGUAGGUGAACCUGCGGAAGGAUCAUUACUGAGUUUCUUGAUUUUAAUCAGUGACCGUAAAACAGUCGCUAAUUGAAAGAACUCCCACCCUUUGUUUACCAAAAUGUCAAUCUUUGGCGAUUCCGUUUUUUAAUGGUUAAACACCAUUGAAUCCAUUGAUGAGCGAUAAGCUUGUGAGUGAGUGUUCGCCAAAGUCUUUUCAAAAACUCAUUUUACAAUAUUCUGUACAGUCUGAGAAACAAAUCAAUAUAAACAAAACUUUCAACAACGGAUCUCUUGGUUCUG